CUUUUUUUUUUCUUUUUUUUUUUUUUUCUUUUUAGGGCCACCCAUGGCACAUGGAAGUUCCCAGGCUAGGGGUCAAAUCAGAGCUAUAGCUGCCGGCCUACACCACAGCCACAGCAAUGCAGGAUCUGAGCCACGUCUGUGACCUACGCCACACCUCAUGGCAACAUCUGAUCCCCGACCCACUGAGCAAGGCCAGGGAUCAAACACCCUUCCUCAUGGAUACUAGUCAGAUUUGUUCCCACUGAGCCACAAUGGGAACUCUGUUUGGUCUUAAUAAUCAGGAAGGUAUAGGUUCAAAUCCCAACUGAACCAAAUGCUAGCUGGGUGUCCUUGGGUAUGUUAAUUAACCUUUCUGACCCUCAUAUUCUUAUGUGCAUUUAUAAAUUAUUUUUAUAUAUAAAUAUACAUAAUCUGGUAUUUAGAAAGUAUUAUAUAUGUAUACAUUAUAAAUUUAUAUAUAGAUAUAAUUUAUACAUGUUAGAUAUAUACAUAUUGUAUAUGUAUAAAUUAUACCUCACAGAGCAUGCACUUUUUAAAAUGUAUUUUCCAAGAUUAUUUAAUAGCGUGAGAAAAUGCUCAUUAACAACAUUAAAAGGAAAAAAGUAAAUGGCAAAUACUAACGCAAUUCUGAUUUUGUACAAAGAAUAUAUAUAUUUUGACUCUAUGUGCACAUAUACAUAUGAAAGAAAAUACAUAAAAAUAUUAACAAUGGUUAUUUUCAUGGUGGGAAUUCGGAUGAUUUAAUUUUUAAAUAUACUUUCAUAUUUUCCAAAUUGCCUACAAUGAACAUGACAUACUUUGAAAUAUUUUUCUAGAUUUGCAUUUUUAUUGCAAAAGUGAUCCAUGUUCAGGGUAGAAAAUUAAACUUUGUUACUAUUGGGAACAGCUUGUUAAUGAGUCCUUUCAGAUGUUUUUCUAUGCCUAUCUAAAUACCUACAUAUAGGGCAUGAGCUUCACAAGCCACAAAUUCAGGUAUGCAAAAGCGGGCAGCUUUAGUUUUCUGUAACUGAAUGUUUUUUCUGUCUCAAACCCUCCCCCUUUCUACCUAGUGGCAGAAAAUUCACUGUGAGCAGUGGAGAGUAAGCUCCGGCAAACAAUGUUUUUCUCUGUGGAUUUAACUCAUCCAUACAUUCUUCUCCCUGGACUUGCACCUUUAUCCUGGGGGGCUGCCAAAGUAUCCAGAUGUGUGUGGGGUGUCUGAUGCUCACCUAUCAUUUGAUCUUGCUAAUGUAACUGGCUGAGGUAGACUUUUUUUCCUGGCCUUGGCCCACAGGAUCUUGAACAGACUCAAAGGUGUCAAGUUUCCCGAACCUACUUACCAACUGCGCUGAAUACUUGGGGCACCCCUUUGUCAACUGGGAGCCCUCCUGUGGUCCAACAGCCUUGGGCUCUCCAUUUCUCAAAGCUCCUCUCAAGGGGCCAUACGGGAAACUUCUGGAUGCCCUUCCACUCAUCCCUAGGAGGGACUUUCUCAGGCUCUGAGAGAAUUUCUCCUCUUCUGACGCUGCAGGCCAGGCUCAGGGGAUAUUCGGAGGACCGCCACCUCCACUGAGCUCGGGCGCGUUCUCACAUCAUCAACCACCUGGACCUCUGACCCAAACCUCCCUUCUUCAGCCAGGGAGCGCCCCCAAGUCCUUCUCAGCCUCCCUCCUACACUACCAGGUCACUCUCCACUCAUUCUCUCCUCUCUGGGACUGUGUGAUCUUUAACUCCUCUGUGUGAGUCCAACAGUGUGCUUAGGGAUCUGAGCUUUAUGACAGAAACCUGAUGUUGGGAGCCCUCUGCCUUAGCCUGGACACUACACAAGUCUUCUUUUCUAACCAGCAUCUCUAUUUUGAAGUAUAAAAGUCUUCUUUAAAAUUCCAAAGUUGGGAGUUCCCAUCGUGGCUCAGUGGUAAUGACCCCAAUUUGUAUCAACGAUGCAGGUUGGAUCUCUGGCCUUGCUCAUGGGUUAAGAAUCCAGCGUUGCUGUAAGCUGUGGUGUAGGUCACAGACACAGGUUGGAUCCUGCGUUUGCUGUGACUGUGGAGUAUGCUGGCAGCUGUAGCUCCAAUUGAACCCCUAGACAGGGAACUUCCAUGUACCGCCAGUGUGGCCCUAAAAAAAGGCAAAAAAAAAAAGCAAUUCCAUGUAAAAAUGAUACUUUACUUAAUAAAUAAAUGUAAUAAAAAUGCUUGAGUAAGUUAUAUCAGAGUAAGUUAUAUCAGAAUAUACAUAAUGUCUUAUAUCAUCAGAAUAAAGAUAUGUAAGCCAGAUCAUUUUUAAUGCAAUAAAAGAUGCCACAAACAAAGCCAAGAGAUAAAUGAAAGAUUAGAAAAUAUCUUUACAAGUAUAUGACAAGAAACUGGUUCAUAUCACUAAACAAUGAACUCCUUUAGAACUAAUUUUUAAUUUUUUUAGUAAUUUAGAUGUUAUAUCAUUAUUUUGUCUUUUUAGGGCUGUACCCAUG
Molecule: long non-coding RNA, 2449 nt
Filed under: Sus scrofa (pig)
Lineage: Eukaryota; Metazoa; Chordata; Mammalia; Artiodactyla; Suidae
Description: lncRNA (ENSSSCG00065010882.1)
Source: RNAcentral